Ficedula albicollis (Collared flycatcher) is the source of this 1596-nucleotide long non-coding RNA. RefSeq lists it as uncharacterized. The record is from RefSeq and is a predicted model, not a curated record. NCBI's taxonomy places the organism in Eukaryota, Metazoa, Chordata, Aves, Passeriformes, Muscicapidae. The transcript has 2 exons.
CUUCCUCUACCCAGAAUCUCUUCAGUCCAGCAGAGUGCAUCAGGUACAGCUGAUCACCUCUGGGAUACAUCUUGCCUCUUUUGUUAAAAUGUUCUCCCAAGAUGCCUGGCUGUGUGUGUGGUAUUGUCUAAUGAGGUCAACCAGUGUAUCACCUCAGUGCUACUCCCACUCCUGUGGCCUCUACCUACUGUCUUGGUUCAUGGAUGUGAAAGAACCUGCCAUGCAGCCUAUGUUCCAGUCUCAGCUGAAGUUUACAUGUGUUCUCCUCCUUUGCUUCCUAAAGUUUACAGGGAAAAGCUUGACUGUCCUGGCCGGUUAAGGCAACCCAACAGCAGUUGGUUAUGUUGUCUUCCACCUUUGUCAGUAUGUGGACUGGUGGAUGGAGCACAAGUGUGGGCAUGUGUGUCAUGGCACCUGUGCUAGGCUGAUGUGGCAUGCUGUCCCAGUCUGUCACCAGUAAUCCUUAUCCUUAUCCUGGGAUGUGUGGCUGCUCUGUGCUGCUUGUCUGCCGGAGCAGAUGGCUGUAAGCAGCUGGAUCAUUUUACAGUGGCUAAUACUCCUCUGAAUGUGACAGCACGAGGACCUCAGCACUGCAGAAUUGAGAGAAUCUUCCACUGUUUUUCAGCCCCCUAUGACCAGAACCAGAGGCAUGUGAAUUGUGACCUUCUUGGGCUGAAGUUACAGCAGCUGAAGAGAUUUGCAGGAAUGAUCUUGAGCUGGUAUCAACAGUUAAUUUUUGGCCGGGAUGUGGCUGAUAGACUAAUCCUGAUUAGACUGGAAUAAAGAGCAAAUUACUGGUCAUGAGUAUCACAGUAGCUGCAGUAUCAGCUGGAGUUGGGUCGUCUUGGGUGAUAAAAAGCUGUAAGCAUUUCUAGUUCAAAUCCCAGCAGCUGAAUGGGUCUUUUCAAAUGUUCCAUUUUCAGUAUAAUAGUUGUCCUGACAUUUCAAUGACUACCAAGCUUAAUUUUCUCAGAAGGAGAGCAGUACUUUGUGCAGAACAAAUCUUUGAGAGCUGCCUGGGAGGCUGUGUUUGGUCUGUGUCCCUGUAGAAUUCCUAAGGAUGAAGCCUUUGGUCAGAGCUUGUUUCUUUCUUUAUAACACAGGUUUAGCAUAUGUUUAGGUAAAUCCCAGUUGCAAACACGAAGACUGAAUUUCUUCAGAGCUACACUGGCUCUUCUGUUGUUUUGAUCUGAGGCCUUGAGACAAAUAUCUAAAUCUUGUCCAAGUCAGAAGCAAUGGCUUUGAGUCACCAUGUGGACAGCAGAAUGCCUUGUAGUGGCCCAGGGGUGCAUUCUGUCCCCAAAAAGCCUAUGAGGGACUCUUGCUGGUAGAGCAAUUCUAGUGGGCUCAGGGGAGUUACCUGUGGAGUCUCCUUAGUGAGAAUGACCAAAACCAAAUGAAUUGCUCACUAGCUGGUGGCCAGACUAGUCAUUAUUCAAAGCACUUAAUGUACAAUAAUGUAUGCAUUUCUAUUCUAACUUUGUUCAGCUGUAUUUUAUAAAUUUGAUGUACUAAACUAUUUGAGAAUAACUGCCUUGACUACUUGGAGAAUCAAAAUGUAAUGUAUAUAGAUACAAAUAAAGUGACUGAAAUAUA